Long non-coding RNA from Brachypodium distachyon (stiff brome), 1303 nucleotides. RefSeq lists it as uncharacterized. The record is from RefSeq and is a predicted model, not a curated record. NCBI's taxonomy places the organism in Eukaryota, Viridiplantae, Streptophyta, Magnoliopsida, Poales, Poaceae. The transcript has 2 exons.
AGGUUGCAAGACAUAAUAUGCUACAUCUUUUUAGCCAUGAUUUUUUGGAUUAAAUAUUCAUAAAAAAUACCUAAAUUUUCAACAAUCCAAAACCUUAUCUGUGUAGGCAAUUUUUGAUGGCUCAAUUUGCUGCUACUUUGAAACCACCUAUGUUUACUUCUCUGCAUUUUAAGAGGUGACAUUAUAAAUGUCACAUGUGGCUUGUGGCUAUGGGCGCAUGGUGGGCGGUACAACACGAGAAGACUCAAACAGUUGCUCCUGAGCAGCUGUAUAAAGAGGCCUGUGUUGUAGUCGUUGGCGCGGUCCUAAGUGUGCUGGAAGAUAAGCUCGUUGAUGUUUAUCUGCAUAUUCAGGAUGCCAAAGAGCUGUGGGAUGCGCUCGACACAAAAUUCGACGCAUCUGAUGCUAGCAGUGAUAUGUACGUCAUGGAGCAGUUCUUUGACUAUAAGAUGGUCGCAAACCGAUCUGUAGUCGAAUAAGCUCAUGAGCUACUGACUAUGGCUAAGGAACUUGAACAAUUCAAGUGUCCACUACCCGACAAAAUUGUUGUCAGGGGCAUCAUCUCCAAGCUUCCUCCCUCGUGGAGGAACUUUACUACUUCUCGAAAACACAAGAGACAGGAAAUCUCUGUGUAGAACCUGAUCGGGACUCUUGAUGUUGAGGAGAAGGCAAGAGCAAAAGAUGCUGGCCCCAAAUGCAACUCCGUGGAGGGUACAUCCACUGCCAACAUGGUUCAGAGGAACAACCAUAACCCCAACAACAGUAACAACUGGGGAAAGGGAAAGGGAUUCAGCAUGCCUGGUUCCAAGAACACUACCACUUCCAAGAAGAAGAAGAAAUGAGGCAACAAGGACAAGUUUCAUUGCUUUGUGUGCGGAGGACUCGGCCAUUGGGCAAGUAACUGCAAAGAGCGCAAAGAAGGACAUAUACGACAAAAGUUUGGCAACAACGAAAAUGCAGGCGGGCCAUCAGGUGCUCAGUGACGAUGGGGAACGACGCUCAUGCUUCUGUUCAUGGUGUUGGUUCAGUGGAUCUGAAGUUUACUUCGGGGAAGAUCGUGCAGCCGAGGAAGGUGCAGCAUGUGCCCUCCAUACAGAAGAAUCUUGUAAGUGGAUCCUUCCUUUGUAAGGACGGAUUUAAGUUAGUGUUUGAGUGCAAUAAAGUUAUUGUGUCUAAGUAUGGACAAUUUAUUGGUAAAGGUUAUGAGUGCGAAGGCUUGUUCCGCUUAUCCCUUUCGGAUUUUUGUAAUAAGGUCAUGAAUAGCAUCAAUUCUAUUAACAAUGAGUCUAAUGUUUGGCAUUCA